This 606-nucleotide ribosomal RNA is filed under the name Triticum aestivum (bread wheat). RNAcentral describes it as "partial small subunit ribosomal RNA". The record is from RNAcentral. Lineage: Eukaryota; Viridiplantae; Streptophyta; Magnoliopsida; Poales; Poaceae.
AUGAGGGCCGCUGUUGUUCCUUUGGGUAACCAAGGCAAGCUGGAAAUGCAACCCAUGUUCGGGAAAGUGUUCUAUAUUCAGGCCGCCUCAGGCAGUCCCGUGGCAGAGGAGAACAAGAACCAUCACCGAAUGAGCUACUAUGAUAGUAAUUAUUCCCACACUUCUAUAAUCACCAACCAACAUAUUUUGGUCAGAGUUGAGAAGAAUGCUGGCAAGGUGAGAGACAUUGAGGGUCCUGCAGUUAUGGCUCCAUUGGUUAAGGAGGAUGCGAGUGAGGUGCGCAGCAUGGAGUUUAAAACACCGACACUCGGUCAGUCACUUCCUGCAUGUAACACAACUCAAAGGUCCAAGGAAUGGUGUGAUUAUUACGCUGCCGACGACAGUGAGGCUCGCUCUGAAAUUUUUGAGCAGAUGCUCAAAGAUGUAUCAGAGCCUUGUUACGACCAAGCACUAUGGCUCAUGGAUGUCCGGAGGUUCCUGUGUCACCGUCCCUGGCACUUGCUUCCUGCACAUCUUGGAGCUUUCAUUUAUUUUGAUGAAGGAUUAGGAGGUUAUGUCCUUCCCCUUCCUAAAAUGAUGGCAUGUGAUGUUUCUCUCAAAGUGUAA